RNAcentral lists this ribosomal RNA (305 nucleotides) under uncultured bacterium. Its description in RNAcentral is "bacterial SSU rRNA". It matches the Rfam family "Bacterial small subunit ribosomal RNA", at positions 334 to 654 of the family's 1533-position model. The record is from RNAcentral.
UGUUCCUACGGGGGGCAGCAGUGGGGAAUAUUGGGCAAUGGGCGCAAGCCUGACCCAGCAACGCCGCGUGAAGGAAGAAGGCUUUCGGGUUGUAAACUUCUUUUAAGAGGGAAGAGCAGAAGACGGUGCCUCUUGAAUAAGCCACGGCUAACUACGUGCCAGCAGCCGCGGUAAUACGUAGGUGGCAAGCGUUGUCCGGAUUUACUGGGUGUAAAGGGCGUGCAGCCGGGCUUACAAGUCAGAUGUGAAAUCCUGCGGCUCAACCGCAGAACUGCAUUUGAAACUGUAGGUCUUGAGUACUGGAG